GCAGCCGUGGCGAAACUGGUAGACGCGCUAGAUUCAGGUUCUAGUACUUAACGGUUUAGGAGUUCGAAUCUCCUCGGCUGCACCA
Molecule: transfer RNA, 85 nt
Filed under: Bacillota bacterium
Lineage: Bacteria; Bacillati; Bacillota
Description: tRNA-Leu
Rfam family: tRNA
About the family: Transfer RNA (tRNA) molecules are approximately 80 nucleotides in length.
Source: RNAcentral